RNAcentral lists this ribosomal RNA (253 nucleotides) under uncultured bacterium. Its description in RNAcentral is "partial 16S ribosomal RNA". It matches the Rfam family "Bacterial small subunit ribosomal RNA", at positions 524 to 776 of the family's 1533-position model. The record is from RNAcentral.
UACAGAGGUCCCAAGCGUUGUUCGGAUUCACUGGGCGUAAAGGGUGCGUAGGUGGUGAGGUAAGUCGGAUGUGAAAGCUCGGAGCUCAACUCCGAAAUGGCAUUGGAAACUACCUUGCUCGAGGGUUGGAGGGGGGACUGGAAUACUUGGUGUAGCAGUGAAAUGCGUAGAUAUCAAGUGGAACACCAGUGGCGAAGGCGGGUAGCUGGGCCAACACUGACGCUGAUGCGCGAAGGUCAGGGGAGCAAACGGG